UACAGAGGCCUCGAGCGUUAGGCGGAAUCACUGGGCUUAAAGCGCGUGUAGGCGGAUCGUUAAGUACCUUGUGAAAUCCCACGGCUCAACCGUGGAACUGCUGGGUAUACUGGCGGUCUUGGGCCAUCCAGGGGUCGCCGGAACAAGCGGUGGAGCGGUGAAAUGCGUAGAUAUCAGGAGGAACACCGGUGGCGAAGGCGGGUCUCUGGGCCGAUACUGACGCUGAGGAGCGAAAGCGUGGGGAGCGAACAGG
This 253-nucleotide ribosomal RNA is filed under the name uncultured bacterium. RNAcentral describes it as "partial 16S ribosomal RNA". It matches the Rfam family "Bacterial small subunit ribosomal RNA", at positions 524 to 776 of the family's 1533-position model. The record is from RNAcentral.